RNAcentral lists this transfer RNA (71 nucleotides) under Marmota monax (woodchuck). RNAcentral's name for it is "tRNA.Ala". Lineage: Eukaryota; Metazoa; Chordata; Mammalia; Rodentia; Sciuridae. The record is from RNAcentral.
GGGGUUGUGGCUCAGUGGUAGAGUGCUCACCUAGCAUGGGUGAAGCCCAGGGCUCGAUCCUCAGCACCACA